GAUGAAGAACGUAGCGAAAUGCGAUAAGUAGUGUGAAUUGCAGAAUUCAGUGAAUCAUCGAAUCUUUGAACGCACAUUGCGCCCUUUGGUAUUCCAAAGGGCAUGCCUGUUCGAGCGUCAUUUGUACCCUCAAGCUUUGCUUGGUGUUGGGCGUCUUGUCUCUAGCUUUGCUGGAGACUCGCCUUAAAGUAAUUGGCAGCCGGCCUACUGGUUUCGGAGCGCAGCACAAGUCGCACUCUCUAUCAGCAAAGGUCUAGCAUCCAUAAAGCCUUUUUUUCAACUUUUGACCUCGGAUCAGGUAGGGAUACCCGCUGAACUUAAGCAUAUCAAUAAGCGGAGGA
Molecule: unclassified non-coding RNA, 341 nt
Filed under: soil metagenome
Description: partial contains 5.8S ribosomal RNA, internal transcribed spacer 2, and large subunit ribosomal RNA
Rfam family: 5.8S ribosomal RNA (bases 1-120)
Source: RNAcentral